Molecule: ribosomal RNA, 253 nt
Filed under: uncultured bacterium
Lineage: Bacteria
Description: partial 16S ribosomal RNA
Rfam family: Bacterial small subunit ribosomal RNA
Source: RNAcentral
UACGGGGGGGGCAAGCGUUGUUCGGAAUUACCGGGCGUAAAGGGCGCGUAGGCGGUUCGCUAAGUUGGAUGUGAAAACUCUGGGCUCAACCCAGAGCCUGCAUCCAAAACUGGCGGGCUAGAGUUCUGGAGGGGGUAGCGGAAUUCCUGGUGUAGCGGUGAAAUGCGUAGAUAUCAGGAGGAACACCGGUGGCGAAGGCGGCUACCUGGACAGAAACUGACGCUGAGGCGCGAAAGCUAGGGGAGCAAACAGG